UAAUACACAGACUGAUUAAAAACAAAAGUAAAUUUCAACUUAUGAAAAUACAUAUUCAUUGUCGGAUUAGCUUUCUAUCAUGAUCUCGUAAGGCUGCGUUUCCACCAGAGAUGUGCGAGGAUGCGUAGCGAAGGAUGUGUUUGUAAAGAACCAAUAGAAUCGCUUCAUUUACCUCGCCUCGGUCAGCACAUCUCUGGUAGAAAAGGCUCAGGCUGUACAACACUAAUGAGCAUUUUCAAAAUCUCUGCUACACAUCCUCGUACGAUACAUUUUCCUCGCACAGCUUUGGUGGAAACCCGCACACAUUUUCACAGCACAGCUAGACAUCUUCGCACGACACAAUUCCCUCGCAUAUCUCUGGGAAACGCAGCAUCCUCUCCCUCCCCCAAGGAUCUCCACAAUGUGCCCGCAUCCAGGUUCUUCCCGCGACCUUCACCAGAUCGUCGGUCCACCUAGUGGGAGGUCUGCCCACAUGCUGAUAACAUGUUCCAUCGUAAUAAACUUCUUUCCGACAUAAUUUAAUAAAGAAAACACCUAAAAUGACCUAAAACCACAAUUUUAUUUUGCUUUUCACACGUCAAUAAGCCAGUGAGUUACGUUACUGUGACAGCUAAGGUAUUUUUCGAUGACAUCUUUGAAAAUUGCAACUCAUGGUAAGUUAUUUGUAUGAAAUUUAAUAAAAACUUUAGUCGCUAUCGUAUUCAUUUAGAUAGGUUUUUUACCUAACGAUUUGAGAUGAACUCAUGGUAGUGUUUUUAGUUUUGCUGUGGUUCAGCUACUAACCGCUAGAGGCGCUGUACAAUUUGCCAUACAUUUUUUUACGCCCUCGAUAGCGAGAUGCUCGGUAGGUAAACUCAUGGUAGAGGCACAGGUCAUUUUAUCAGACCUUUAUCAUCUAAAAUUGUCUAUAAGAUUAUCGCCCGUAUUCAUAAACAUUACUAUGAGGUGUCACAGUGCGCGUGCACGCACACGGUGCUCUAUUCAACGCUGUGCUUUCGAGGUGCUGCUUCGUUUGUGAAUACGGGCGUAUAUUUUGACGCGCAUCCUAGACUGGCAGGGCAUUUAGUUUUACUACAUGACCUCUAAUUUGCCAGAAGCAAAUGCAGGAUUUGGCUUACACUCCCCCCGCUGGCUGGACGGGUAUGAUGGCCUGGUGUUCGCUUAAUUUCUAUGUCCCAGACCUAGAGUUUCUAUGUCCUAGUUAGAGUAACUAACUAUCCUAAAGUAGGUAUUUGUUACAGCUGCAGAGAAUAAAAAAACUGUGCUUUUUGACAAUGUUACGCUAAAGGCACAGAAUUAUUAGGAUAUUUUUGUAGGUCAGA
Long non-coding RNA from Ostrinia nubilalis (European corn borer), 1322 nucleotides. RefSeq lists it as uncharacterized. Lineage: Eukaryota; Metazoa; Arthropoda; Insecta; Lepidoptera; Crambidae. The record is from RefSeq and is a predicted model, not a curated record. The transcript has 2 exons.